This 74-nucleotide transfer RNA is filed under the name Candidatus Rehaiarchaeum fermentans. RNAcentral describes it as "tRNA-Thr". It matches the Rfam family "tRNA". From Rfam's summary of the family: Transfer RNA (tRNA) molecules are approximately 80 nucleotides in length. Their secondary structure includes four short double-helical elements and three loops (D, anti-codon, and T loops). The record is from RNAcentral. Lineage: Archaea; Nanobdellati; Candidatus Parvarchaeota.
GCCAGAGUAGCUCAGCCUGGUAGAGCGUUUCCUUGGUAAGGAAAAGGUCGCGAGUUCGAAUCUCGCCUCUGGCU